CGAGCUCGAUGGCUAUCGUCGGCACUAUCGGCAGCUGGACCCCUCGCAGUCCGGCCAUGCGGAUAUCGCUGCUACCAAGGCGUUCUUCGAAGCCUCGGGGCUUCCCAUCGCCGAGCUCUCCGCCAUCUACGCCAUGGCAGAUCUGGACCACGAUGGUCAGCUCUCGGAGCCGGA
This 174-nucleotide non-coding RNA is filed under the name uncultured Symbiodinium. The record is from RNAcentral. Lineage: Eukaryota; Dinophyceae; Suessiales; Symbiodiniaceae.